GGUGAUUAAAAAUUCUCAUCGUGCCCAUGUGCUUUGUGCCCUCUCCUUUGUCAUUCUGCAGUUGGGUAUCAAAGCUGUAGCAUCUAUGUUCUUUGAAGACUAAGCAGAAUGAGUUCUUGGCCUUGGCUGUUGAGGACAGAACGUCCUGAGCCAAAUGGGACAGUGGCUGAGUGAGGACACCAAACCUAUUCUUAGGAGUUGUCUUGAAAUUCUUACUAACUUUUGAACGUGGAACCCUACAUCUUCGUUUUGUACUGGUCCCCACAUAUUUUAUAGCUGAUCUGAAGGAGGAGAGAGAGAUGAUGGGGGAUGAAGGGUAUGGAAUUGUAUGCUAUGGCUGCCUGCUGUCGAAGUUCUCCAGGAAUCAGCUGGCUGGAGGAAUUUUGGAAGGGGUGAGGCAUACACUUUCUUCUAUGUUCCUGAAACCACAACAUUGUUAGGACUCAUCUGUUCAUGAGACCAGACCAAUAGAAAAUGAGCACUUCGUGGAUAAAAAAUACAGAUGGAAACUUAGUGAAAUGUGACCUCCAGUGCUGGAGAUGGACCUAAUGGGAAGUGUUUGAGUCAUGAGAGAAUAUCCUUUAUGAAUGGCUUGGUGCCUUCCCUGUGGCCAUGAGUUACUACAAGAUCUGAUUGUUAAAAAAAGAUUCUAGGACUUCCUGUCCCUCUGUCUUACUCCUCUUUUACCAUGUGACAUGCCUGCUUCCCCUUCACCUUCUGUCAUGAUUGUAAGCUUCCUGAGGUUCCCAUCAGAAGCAGAGUAGUUGCUGGUGUCAUGCUUGUACAGCCCAUGGAGCUGUGAACCAAAUAAACUUCUUUUCUUUAUAAAUUACCUAG
This 837-nucleotide long non-coding RNA is filed under the name Homo sapiens (human). RNAcentral describes it as "HSALNT0329287". Lineage: Eukaryota; Metazoa; Chordata; Mammalia; Primates; Hominidae. The record is from RNAcentral.